Long non-coding RNA from Triticum aestivum (bread wheat), 2254 nucleotides. RefSeq lists it as uncharacterized. NCBI's taxonomy places the organism in Eukaryota, Viridiplantae, Streptophyta, Magnoliopsida, Poales, Poaceae. The record is from RefSeq and is a predicted model, not a curated record. The transcript has 6 exons.
GUCCAAGACUUAAUAUUUUCAAAUGAAAAUGAGAAGAGAGAUUCUAACCAACCAGCACCCAACCCAACCCAAAACAGCCCUUGCACACUCUAUCUUCUUCCUCCUCCCCCGAUUCCACCCAACGAGCCGCCGGGAACCUCCUCUCCUCCAGCCACCGCCGGUGCCCUCCACCCUCUCCUUCUCUCCUAGUCUCCGCGUCCAACCUCGAAAGCAUCCCCUCCUCGCGCCCAAAACCCUAGCCCGCGUCCACGGCAACCAAUCUCUGGAUCCGCAUCGCAGGAUGCCGCCGGAUCCAGGGACAGGGCAUCGCACCCUGCAGCCGCCGUUCAAGUCGAGCGCGGGGGCGGCGAAUGCCGGUGCUCCUCUACUUCCUCGACCUCCAAGGACGCAGGCCCCGGAUUCGUGCUCGCCUUCUUCCUCCACCAGCCUUGGUGCCCAACUCCCUACAACCGCCGUCGCCGUCGCCGUCGUGGACUCCCAAGCAGGCGAGGAGCAUGAGGACCGAGCUCGAGCGCGACCAUGACGCAGCGCACAAGGUCCCUGUUUCCUGCACAAGUAUACACAACACCUUGCUUGGUUGGGGAGCAGCAACAUCAAGGUUGUUGAACAAACAGCAAUAUCAAGACGUUGAACAAAUAGCAACAUCAGUUGCUGAUAGCGUGCUGAAUUACUCACCAUGAACCGUCCUCAUUCUGUAACUUCUGAAUGAAUUCACUCACUCACCUGAUGCAUUGUUCUACUUCAUCUUCUUGAUGCCCAGGGUGUUUCAGCACCAACGCUUGGAUGACCAACGAGGAACAAGCUAUGGCGGUGGCUGCCGAUUUGCCGCCUCAACAAGGUCUCGUUCCUCCCUGGUUUGCACAAGCUUUGUCAGGGAACUGCAGAUCCCGUACGACCAUGGCCCACACCCCUAAAGCAUCCCUUGUCCGCAACAACUUCUGGAUCAAAGGAAAAGGGGUCCUCCUUGAGAUCAUACAGAUGGCGCAAGGAAAAUGGUAAUAUGGUCAUUGUGGUGGGUGAGGGUGCUGGCCAAGAUCUCAUCGCCUAAAGCAUCAAUUUUGUGGACCUCACCAUCCCUUCCUUGGUUUGACAGAGGAGGAUGGAUCCAGGACUGUCCGCUGCGGAUUCGCCGCCUCACCUAUGUCGGUCUUGUGCGUGCCUGGGGUUCUUUGCCGAGCACCAACACCGCCCAUGGAGCCGGCGAGCUCACACACCUGCACCUUCAGAAGCACCACGUUAGCUACUGCAACAUCAAGUGCUACGGCGAGGUUGCUGGGCGCUAGCCGUGGCGUCCGACGCGUGUAUGGUUGAAGGUUUUUUGGUUCAGUGCUCGUGCGACGCCGGCGCCAGUGGCGCUAUACGGCCUCGGCUACGGUCGUUCUGGUAAGUUCCUAAUUUUGUUUAUACCAGCUUUCCUUUUUGCGCUUUUCUUUUGAUUUUACAUUUGGGCAUACAUGUUACAUAUCCAAAAUGGGUGGAAUUGAAAUGUUGGAUAUUAUAUCCAAACGGUAGGGUUUAAUUUUUUUGGGGAGGGUGUAAGGUUAAAUCUUUGUUCCUAGUGGAACAUAUCUUUUUCAAAUUGGUAAUAUGGUUGCUUUGUCCAUGAUAAUGCUAUAAACAGUUUGUAUGGAUUGGUGCUGGUGUUCAUCCAUCCCUACAAAUAUUUUGCAUCCUCAUUUUGCCAUUGCCAUUGAAUAUGUUUCUUAAUAAUGUGGUUUCUCUUUAUGCAUGGAUAAACACUUUAUUGUAUCAAUUCAUUUACAAGAUCAUUUGUGACUUUUGAGAAAAGAUAUAAUUGAUAGCUAUGAAUGUAUUUGGUUUUCUUUUGAGAGCAAGUUUUGUCGAGUAGUUUGCACUUUUUUAUUCUUUCCAUUGAAUGUAUUUAGUUUGUCCAGUGAAUAUUUUGUCCAUUUUGAGAACUUUUUUUGAAGCCAGAAACAAUUUUGAACUCGCGAAACUUUUUUACAUUCGAGAACAAUCUUUCAAAACUCGUGAACAUUUUUUUGAAAUUCAAAUUUUAUUUUGACAUCCCGACCAUCAUUUGAAACUAGAUGAUGGCCCAUGCCUUGCUGCGGGAAUGAAUUGUAAUAUAUUUCAAUAGGAUUUGACUAUGUGGAGUAUAAAUAUUUCAUUUAACAACAUGUGAACAAUAUUUUAUUAUGUACAUACGACGUACCAUAUUUUAUUAUGUAUAGUUGUAAAGUAUUUAUUGAAUAUAAGUAGAAUAAUAGAAUGAAUACUAUUUUCUGAUGCA